AAAAAGAUAAGCUAACUAAGCUAUUAGGUUCAUACCCUAAUUAUAGAAGUUAUAAAUCUUCUUCUUUUUA
RNAcentral lists this transfer RNA (70 nucleotides) under Cerapanorpa byersi. RNAcentral's name for it is "tRNA-Met". Lineage: Eukaryota; Metazoa; Arthropoda; Insecta; Mecoptera; Panorpidae. The record is from RNAcentral. RNAcentral also lists the same sequence under 1 other name.